Molecule: long non-coding RNA, 281 nt
Filed under: Manihot esculenta (cassava)
Lineage: Eukaryota; Viridiplantae; Streptophyta; Magnoliopsida; Malpighiales; Euphorbiaceae
Description: long non-coding RNA (MESC_LNC000922)
Source: RNAcentral
GGCUAUUGGUGACAAGUUCAUCCGUGAGAUGCUAUGUUUGUGAUGUGAUGCAUUCCAUGAGAGCAUGUAAUGAAUGAACUGUUUUAUUGUUCCUACUCACUGGGCUAUAGAGCUCAUCCCACUCCCUUAACCCCAGUUUUGCAGGUUCUGAGAUAGCUAUGGGAAAUCAGAGUCAGCAAGAGUAAAGAAAGAUAUGCAUGAAUGUAUGUUUGUAAUAGCGUAGUGGACAUGAUGUAAAUAAAAGAUUAGUUGUAAUGUAAUGUAUAGACAUGUACUGUCAU